CAUUAGUCUCAGGUUGGGCUGAGACAAGAGAGAGAGAGAAGUCUGCGGCUUACUUUUAGCACUCGCUUUUUGAAAGAGCGUGGGAGUGAGGACAAUGGUGUUGGGCAGACUCAAGAAUCUCGUCACCGGCAAUUUGGCAUUACCAUCGAAGGUUGUCUUCCUUCUCGUCUUCUUUGUUACUGCUGAUUCAGGUUUCCCCACGGGUUGUUUCUGUUGAUAUUGUAUUUCGCAGUCUGAACAAUUUUAUGGAGACUCAACUCGCACACCCACAGCUAUGAAAAAUUGGAAACUUCGGGAUGGUGAGAGACACCUCCGAUGCUUAAAUCAAUGCAUGAUUUUUUAUGCGAGGAGUAUAUAUAAUUUGAGGAUAUAUGAUGUCUGAGAGCCCUCCCCUCAGUGAAGGAGAUGGUUUAUAUACCUGGUUAGGAUGACUUCUGCAAAGGGAAUCGUGGGAGUGUCGGUCCGUAUUCGGGUCACAUCUCCCUAUUAGCUAACUGCUGUGCGACGGACUUGCAGGGCAUGAUCAUGGCGACCACUGGCAUCCCAAGAGGCACAUCGUGGCAUGCGUACCCCUAGGCUUCGGUGAAUGCAACGUGGUUCUCUCAUUGUGGCAUGCUCGUCCCUGCGUCUCAUUUAAUGUGGUGUGGCCUAAGCUAGGUGACCCACUUUCCAGAUUUGCCCAGCCACCAGGGUUAGAGAUAGGGGUGUAGGUGUGAGACAACUUGCCCUUCAACUCCCUACUGCCGCGUGUUGCCCAGCUGUUCCUUCCCUUCGACUUCUUGGCAGGCCUGCCCCGGUCCAUCCCUUGCUUUCAGGGCCGUGAGCCGGGCGCCCCCCCCCCCCCCCCCCCCCCCCCAAAAAAAAAACAGUUUCCACGCCAUCCUCAUCGACUCAAUGCGGCCUAGCAGCGUUAAAUUGGAGUGAGUGUUAGCUAGUUCAUUUGGCUUUACUGCGAGGUUGAACAAAUCCAAAUCUCACAGCCAUAGUCAUAAGUAAUUCUCAAUUGGAAGAGCUUGGCCCUGCCAUCUCUGCAGCCUAUGUACUCCUAAUUCCGGCCGGCGGUAUCUUUGCCUGUAAACUCCUCCAUUUUUUUUUUUCAAAUUGUUUGCUUCCUACACAUAAACGCUUUAAUCUCCUAUCAUUCCAUGGGUUGCAAAUAUUUGGCUUGCAGAUUGUCCUUUGAACCAGCCAGAAGCUCAAAAUCUUGUCAGUCAUCUCUACUGCUCUGCCAAACUACUAGCAUUGUUGUUUCCGUGAGCCAACCAUAGGCUUUCUGCAAUAUGAUUGGCAGCUACCUGAAAGCUGACGCCUGUAGGCUCUUUUGUUAGGACUCUCUAUCCGUGCAUUGGCUAUGUUUAUCUCAGUGACAGUCAUUGAUCAUUGAGUUUUCUCUAAUAUGAUGAAGUAUUGCUCAGAAGUCACCUACCUCGUGUUACUUAUUAAGGUUCCCAAGGAAAAAAGUUCCCUGUAGAGAAUGGAAAUGAAGACAGGGAAGUUUUCAUCUUCCAUUGAGUUUCAACGUCUCUUCAAAAGGACUUCCACCAUGUAUUUACCCCAAGUACUCAAGUAAUGAAACUUCCAUUUCUCACUUUUAGUGUUGUAAUUAUAGUAUAAUGCCUGGUUACUUCCCAGUUGGGUAAACUCAGGGCAUGACGGAAAAGGUUAAAAACAAUAGAAAAUAAUGGAUCCAAACUUCUUACAGUACAAGUCA
Molecule: long non-coding RNA, 1711 nt
Organism: Carya illinoinensis
Lineage: Eukaryota; Viridiplantae; Streptophyta; Magnoliopsida; Fagales; Juglandaceae
Exons: 3
Source: RefSeq, a predicted model, not a curated record